UCGAGACCGCGAGACAUGGUUGAUGCGCGACGUGCGCCCUCACUUCACCGACGAGAAUGCCGUCGGGGUCAGCAACUGGCUGGCGAUGUUCUCGACGAUCUGGCCGUUCUUCUCGGUUUCCGCGCGCGUGGAUAUCCAGGUCGGGUCGGCCUGAAACGCGGCCCAUUUCUGCCCGCGCUCCGCUAGCGAGUCCCAAGCCAGGAAA
RNAcentral lists this unclassified non-coding RNA (205 nucleotides) under Hevea brasiliensis (rubber tree). The record is from RNAcentral. Lineage: Eukaryota; Viridiplantae; Streptophyta; Magnoliopsida; Malpighiales; Euphorbiaceae.